RNAcentral lists this ribosomal RNA (489 nucleotides) under uncultured bacterium. RNAcentral's name for it is "partial 16S ribosomal RNA". It matches the Rfam family "Bacterial small subunit ribosomal RNA", at positions 28 to 507 of the family's 1533-position model. The record is from RNAcentral.
GACGAACGCUGGCGGCGUGCUUAACACAUGCAAGUCGAACGGUGAAGGGAUCAGCUUGCUGGUUCUGGAUGAGUGGCGAACGGGUGAGUAACACGUGAGUAACCUGCCCCCUUCUUCUGGAUAACCGCAUGAAAGGGUGGCUAACACGGGAUAUUCUGGGUCUGUCGCAUGAGGGGUCGGGGGAAGAGAUGGUUGCGGUGGGGGAUGGGCUCGCGGCCUAUGGGCGUGUGGGUGGGGGGAUGGCCUACCAUGGCGGGGACGGGGAGCCGGCGGGUGAGGGUGGACGCUCACAGUGGGACUGAGCCACGGGCCAGACUCCUACGGGAGGCAGCAGUGGGGGAUAUUGCACAAGGGGCGCAAGCCUGAUGCAGCGACGCCGCGUGAGGGAUGGAGGCCUUCGGGUUGUAAACCUCUUUCGCCAGUGAAGCAGGCCUGCUCCUUGUGGGUGGGUUGACGGUAGCUGGAUAAGAAGCGCCGGCUAACUACGUG